UCCAUGUUUUUAUUGCCGUCU
RNAcentral lists this small RNA (21 nucleotides) under Arabidopsis thaliana (thale cress). Its description in RNAcentral is "ATSL022740". The record is from RNAcentral. Lineage: Eukaryota; Viridiplantae; Streptophyta; Magnoliopsida; Brassicales; Brassicaceae.